AGGUUGUUUUGGGGGAAAUUUCAAAGUAGACCCUUGUAGCGCUCCCAUGCUUCAAAUAGUGACUCCCUGAUUUUUUUUUCAAAAUUAGCAAUGGCUUUUUUGAGCUU
This is a small nucleolar RNA of Lactuca sativa (garden lettuce), 107 nucleotides long. The record is from RefSeq and is a predicted model, not a curated record. Lineage: Eukaryota; Viridiplantae; Streptophyta; Magnoliopsida; Asterales; Asteraceae.